UGGGGAAUUUUGGACAAUGGGCGAAAGCCUGAUCCAGCAAUGCCGCGUGUGUGAAGAAGGCCUUCGGGUUGUAAAGCACUUUUGUCCGGAAAGAGAUCCUCUGGGUUAAUACCUCGGGGGGAUGACGGUACCGGAAGAAUAAGCACCGGCUAACUACGUGCCAGCAGCCGCGGUAAUACGUAGGGUGCAAGCGUUAAUCGGAAUUACUGGGCGUAAAGCGUGCGCAGGCGGUUUUGUAAGACGGAUGUGAAAUCCCCGGGCUUAACCUGGGAACUGCAUUCGUGACUGCAGGGCUAGAGUAUGGCAGAGGGGGUAGANUCCACGUGUAGCAGUGAAAUGCGUAGAGAUGUGGAGGAAUACCGAUGGCGAAGGCAGCCCCCUGGGCCAAUACUGACGCUCAUGCACGAAAAGCGUGGGGAGCAAACAGGAUUAGAUACCCUGGUAGUCCACGCCCUAAACGAUGUCAACUAGUUGUUGGGGAUUCAUUUCCUUAGUAACGUAGCUAACGCGUGAAGUUGACCGCCUGGGGAGUACGGUCGCAAAGAUUAAAAACUCAAAGGAAUUGACGGGGU
RNAcentral lists this ribosomal RNA (572 nucleotides) under uncultured bacterium. RNAcentral's name for it is "partial 16S ribosomal RNA". It matches the Rfam family "Bacterial small subunit ribosomal RNA", at positions 355 to 919 of the family's 1533-position model. The record is from RNAcentral.